GAUGAACGCUGGCGGCGUGCCUAAUACAUGCAAGUCGAGCGAACGGACGAGAAGCUUGCUUCUCUGAUGUUAGCGGCGGACGGGUGAGUAACACGUGGAUAACCUACCUAUAAGACUGGGAUAACUUCGGGAAACCGGAGCUAAUACCGGAUAAUAUUUUGAACCGCAUGGUUCAAAAGUGAAAGACGGUCUUGCUGUCACUUAUAGAUGGAUCCGCGCUGCAUUAGCUAGUUGGUAAGGUAACGGCUUACCAAGGCAACGAUGCAUAGCCGACCUGAGAGGGUGAUCGGCCACACUGGAACUGAGACACGGUCCAGACUCCUACGGGAGGCAGCAGUAGGGAAUCUUCCGCAAUGGGCGAAAGCCUGACGGAGCAACGCCGCGUGAGUGAUGAAGGUCUUCGGAUCGUAAAACUCUGUUAUUAGGGAAGAACAUAUGUGUAAGUAACUGUGCACAUCUUGACGGUACCUAAUCAGAAAGCCACGGCUAACUACGUGCCAGCAGCCGCGGUAAUACGUAGGUGGCAAGCGUUAUCCGGAAUUAUUGGGCGUAAAGCGCGCGUAGGCGGUUUUUUAAGUCUGAUGUGAAAGCCCACGGCUCAACCGUGGAGGGUCAUUGGAAACUGGAAAACUUGAGUGCAGAAGAGGAAAGUGGAAUUCCAUGUGUGGCGGUGAAAUGCGCAGAGAUAUGGAGGAACACCAGUGGCGAAGGCGACUUUCUGGUCUGUAACUGACGCUGAUGUGCGAAAGCGUGGGGAUCAAACAGGAUUAGAUACCCUGGUAGUCCACGCCGUAAACGAUGAGUGCUAAGUGUUAGGGGGUUUCCGCCCCUUAGUGCUGCAGCUAACGCAUUAAGCACUCCGCCUGGGGAGUACGACCGCAAGGUUGAAACUCAAAGGAAUUGACGGGGACCCGCACAAGCGGUGGAGCAUGUGGUUUAAUUCGAAGCAACGCGAAGAACCUUACCAAAUCUUGACAUCCUUUGACAACUCUAGAGAUAGAGCCUUCCCCUUCGGGGGGGCAAAGUGACAGGUGGUGCAUGGUUGUCGUCAGCUCGUGUCGUGAGAUGUUGGGUUAAGUCCCGCAACGAGCGCAACCCUUAAGCUUAGUUGCCAUCAUUAAGUUGGGCACUCUAAGUUGACUGCCGGUGACAAACCGGAGGAAGGUGGGGAUGACGUCAAAUCAUCAUGCCCCUUAUGAUUUGGGCUACACACGUGCUACAAUGGACAAUACAAAGGGCAGCGAAACCGCGAGGUCAAGCAAAUCCCAUAAAGUUGUUCUCAGUUCGGAUUGUAGUCUGCAACUCGACUACAUGAAGCUGGAAUCGCUAGUAAUCGUAGAUCAGCAUGCUACGGUGAAUACGUUCCCGGGUCU
This 1373-nucleotide ribosomal RNA is filed under the name uncultured bacterium. RNAcentral's name for it is "bacterial SSU rRNA". It matches the Rfam family "Bacterial small subunit ribosomal RNA", at positions 28 to 1381 of the family's 1533-position model. The record is from RNAcentral.